UCCUUUUCACAGUGGCAGUAUUGUAGCCAGUGGGGUUAAUCUGAGACGAGAUUAUUGCUAAUUGAAAACUUUUCCCAAUACCCUGCCAUGAUGACUUGAAAUAUAGUUGGCAUACUUAAUUCAGAGGUGGGGACCU
This is a small nuclear RNA of Euleptes europaea (tarantolino), 136 nucleotides long. RefSeq annotates it as U4 spliceosomal RNA. NCBI's taxonomy places the organism in Eukaryota, Metazoa, Chordata, Lepidosauria, Squamata, Sphaerodactylidae. The transcript has a single exon. The record is from RefSeq and is a predicted model, not a curated record.